AUGAACGCUAGCUACAGGCUUAACACAUGCAAGUCGAGGGGAAACGGCAUCGAAAGCUUGCUUUUGAUGGGCGUCGACCGGCGCACGGGUGAGUAACGCGUAUCCAACCUGCCCAUCACUUGGGAAUAACCUUGCGAAAGUAAGACUAAUGCCCAAUGACAUCCCACGAAGGCAUCCGAAUGGGAUUAAAGAUUUAUCGGUGAUGGAUGGGGAUGCGUCUGAUUAGCUUGUUGGCGGGGUGACGGCCCACCAAGGCAACGAUCAGUAGGGGUUCUGAGAGGAAGGUCCCCCACAUUGGAACUGAGACACGGUCCAAACUCCUACGGGAGGCAGCAGUGAGGAAUAUUGGUCAAUGGGCGAGAGCCUGAACCAGCCAAGUAGCGUGCAGGAGGACGGCCCUAUGGGUUGUAAACUGCUUUUAUAAGGGAAUAAAGUGGGUCACGUGUGACUUUUUGCAUGUACCUUAUGAAUAAGGACCGGCUAAUUCCGUG
Molecule: ribosomal RNA, 491 nt
Filed under: uncultured bacterium
Lineage: Bacteria
Description: partial 16S ribosomal RNA
Rfam family: Bacterial small subunit ribosomal RNA
Source: RNAcentral